Molecule: ribosomal RNA, 451 nt
Filed under: uncultured bacterium
Lineage: Bacteria
Description: bacterial SSU rRNA
Rfam family: Bacterial small subunit ribosomal RNA
Source: RNAcentral
GAGUUUGAUCUUGGCUCAGGAUGAACGCUGGCGGCGUACCUAACGCAUGCAAGUCGAACGGGGAUUGAAUAGCAAUAUUUGAUUCUAGUGGCAAACGGGGUGAGUAACACGUGGGUAAUCUACCCUGGAGUGGGGAAUAACGGACCGAAAGGUUCGCUAAUACCGCAUAUCGUUGAGAAACGAAAGGGGUCUCUUACGAGACUUCGCUCUGGGAGGAGCCUGCGGCCGAUCAGGUAGUUGGUGAGGUAACGGCUCACCAAGCCGCAGACCGGUAGCUGAUCUGAGAGGAUGACCAGCCACACUGGCACUGAGACACGGGCCAGACUCCUACGGGAGGCAGCAGCGAGGAAUAUUGCGCAAUGGACGAAAGUCUGACGCAGUAACGCCGCGUGAGGGAGGAAGACCUCGGUUGUAACUACUUUUGGUUAGGUACGAGUGAGGACGGUACGUA